RNAcentral lists this ribosomal RNA (227 nucleotides) under Cutibacterium avidum. RNAcentral's name for it is "partial 23S ribosomal RNA". It matches the Rfam family "Bacterial large subunit ribosomal RNA", at positions 2704 to 2925 of the family's 2925-position model. Lineage: Bacteria; Bacillati; Actinomycetota; Actinomycetes; Propionibacteriales; Propionibacteriaceae. The record is from RNAcentral.
GACCUCUGGUGUGCCAGUUGUUCUGCCAAGGGCAUGGCUGGUUGGCUACGUCGGGUUGUGAUAACCGCUGAAAGCAUCUAAGCGGGAAGCACGCUUCAAGAUGAGGGUUCCUGCAGAUGAAUCUGGUAAGGUCUCCGGUAGACGACCGGGUUGAUAGGCCAGGCGUGGACGCAUCGUAAGGUGUGGAGCUGACUGGUACUAAUAGACCGAGGACUUACACAACAUUC